Long non-coding RNA from Carassius carassius (crucian carp), 536 nucleotides. RefSeq lists it as uncharacterized. The record is from RefSeq and is a predicted model, not a curated record. The transcript has 3 exons. Lineage: Eukaryota; Metazoa; Chordata; Actinopteri; Cypriniformes; Cyprinidae.
UAAGGACACACAAGUCUGCUUGUGUGAAGAGGUGGUUUUCUCAGCUUCUUCUGAAGAGAGGGGAAGAUAGUUUAAGGCAAGUAAACUUCAUAAUUUCAUGUUAUCAGUUGUUGUUGUUGUUUUUUACUAAGAGUAAAAUAAUGUUUGUUUUUUGUUUUUGUAGAUGUUAAAAGCCAGAGACAUGGGAGAGCAUCAUUCUUUUGAGAUUUUAUAACUCAAACCAACUUUGGAGUUGUCUUGUCUGAUUUGGAGAGUCAUCAUUCUUGGUCUUCCCUCUUAAAGGCCACUGAUGAAGAACAGGUGGUGACUGGAUGAAUGCUGAUCAAAGAAGAGAACGUCCUUUCCCCUAAACUGAUGCAGUAGUGGUAUUAAAGGAGGACGCUGCCCUGGAUGAUGUAGAAGAUGUCACAUGUGCUGAUGGGGCUUCUUCAUGACUACGUCAAUUAUGCUAAAGAGAUCAUGAAAGUUGACAGUGAUGCAUGAUCCGUAUUCAUCGACUAUGAAACAAACUGUAAGUGUAUAAUUUGUAAAAACAA